UGGCUCAGAACGAACGCUGGCGGCGCGUCUUAAACAUGCAAGUCGUACGAGAACCUCAGUGCUUGCAUUGAGGGGACAGUGGCGAACGGGUGAGUAACACGUGGAUAACUUGCCUCCAGGUUGGGGACAACAUCGGGAAACCGGUGCUAAUACCGAAUUGUAUCUGGUCUGCAUAAGCAGGUCAGAUGAAAGGUGGGGACCUUCGGGCCUACCGCCUGGAGAUAGGUCCGCGGCCCAUUAGCUUGUUGGUGGGGUAAUGGCCUACCAAGGCUGCGAUGGGUAGCCGGCCUGAGAGGGUGAUCGGCCACAUUGGGACUGAGAUACGGCCCAGACUCCUACGGGAGGCAGCAGUUAAGAAUCUUGCGCAAUGGGGGAAACCCUGACGCAGCGACGCCGCGUGGACGAUGAAGGCCUUCGGGUUGUAAAGUCCAGUAAGAUGGGAAGAAUAAGCAGGUAUUAAUACUGCCUGCGAUGACGGUACCAUCCUAAAGCCCCGGCUAACUACGUGCCAGCAGCCGCGGUAAUACGUAUGGGGCAAGCGUUGUUCGGAAUUAUUGGGCGUAAAGGGCGUCUAGGCGGGAAGUUAAGUUGGGUGUGAAAGCCACGGGCUCAACCCGUGAAUUGCAUCCAAAACUGAUUUUCUUGAGUCUGGGAGAGGAGAGCGGAAUUCCUGGUGUAGCGGUGAAAUGCGUAGAUAUCAGGAAGAACACCAGUGGCGAAGGCGGCUCUCUGGCCUAAGACUGACGCUAAAGCGCGAAAGCGUGGGUAGCGAACGGGAUUAGAUACCCCGGUAGUCCACGCCGUAAACGUUGUGUACUAGGUGUUAGCUCCUUGAGGGCUAGUGCCGACGCUAACGCAUUAAGUACACCGCCUGGGGAGUACG
This 883-nucleotide ribosomal RNA is filed under the name uncultured organism. RNAcentral describes it as "bacterial SSU rRNA". It matches the Rfam family "Bacterial small subunit ribosomal RNA", at positions 20 to 884 of the family's 1533-position model. The record is from RNAcentral.